AGCAUGCAAGUCAAACGGGAUGUAGCAAUACAUCUAGUGGCGAACGGGUGAGUAACGCGUGGAUGAUCUACCUACGAGAUGGGGAUAACUAUUAGAAAUAGUAGCUAAUACCGAAUAAGGUCAAUUAAUUUGUUAAUUGAUGAAAGGAAGCCUUUAAAGCUUCGCUUGUAGAUGAGUCUGCGUCUUAUUAGUUAGUUGGUAGGGUAAAUGCCUACCAAGGCGAUGAUAAGUAACCGGCCUGAGAGGGUGAACGGUCACACUGGAACUGAGAUACGGUCCAGACUCCUACGGGAGGCAGCAGCUAAGAAUCUUCCGCAAUGGGCGAAAGCCUGACGGAGCGACACUGCGUGAAUGAAGAAGGUCGAAAGAUUGUAAAAUUCUUUUAUAAAUGAGGAAUAAGCUUUGUAGGAAAUGACGAAGUGAUGACGUUAAUUUAUGAAUAAGCCCCGGCUAAUUACGUGCCAGCAGCCGCGGUAAUACG
Molecule: ribosomal RNA, 481 nt
Filed under: Borreliella burgdorferi (Lyme disease spirochete)
Lineage: Bacteria; Pseudomonadati; Spirochaetota; Spirochaetia; Spirochaetales; Borreliaceae
Description: bacterial SSU rRNA
Rfam family: Bacterial small subunit ribosomal RNA
Source: RNAcentral